Molecule: ribosomal RNA, 466 nt
Filed under: uncultured bacterium
Lineage: Bacteria
Description: partial 16S ribosomal RNA
Rfam family: Bacterial small subunit ribosomal RNA
Source: RNAcentral
GACGAACGCUGGCGGUGUGCUUAACACAUGCAAGUCGAACGGUAAGGCCCUUUAGGGGGUACACGAGUGGCGAACGGGUGAGUAACACGGGAGUAACCUGCCCCCAUCUCUGGGAUAACAGUCGGAAACGGUUGCUAAUACUGGCUAAGAGCUUGCAAGGCAUCUUGUGGGUUGGAAAGAUCUUUUUGGUUGGGGAUGGACUCGCGGCGUAUCAGCGUGUUGGUGCGGAAGUGGCUCACCAAGGGUUCGACGGGGAGACGGCCUGAGAGGGCGACCGGCGACAUUGGGACUGAGACACGGCCCAGACGCCGUCGGGAGGCAGCAGUGGUGAAUGUUGGACAGAGGCCGGAAGUCAGAGUCAAGGACGCCGCGUGCGGGAUGAGUGCCCUCGUGUUGUGAGCCGCUUUCGAGUGUGACGAAGCUUUUUUUGACGGUAGCAGAAGAAGAAGCACCGGCUAACUACGUG